CUCUGCACUCAGGCACUCAGAGAAGGGCUAGUCUCUGAGCUAAAGUGAGAACAAGACAAAUUUCACCUAGAAGACUUUCUAUCAUGCUCUGUCCUGGCCUGCUGUGGGCACUCAUGGUCUCCUUUAGCUUCAGAUUCAGCAUGACCGAGAGAGUAACCCAAGCACAGACUACAGUGACACGGCGGGAAGGAGAAGCUGUGACAAUGGACUGCACCUAUGAAACCACAUUGAGUUAUUAUCAUUUAUACUGGUACAAACAGCCUCCCAGUGGAGAGAUGGUCUUCCUUAUUUAUCAGGUCUCUUCUAGAACAAAUGCAAAGCGGGAUCGGUACUCUGUGAACUUUCAAAAGACAAAAACAAUCAUCAGCCUCACCAUCUCUUCCUUGCAACUGGCAGACUCAGCGAAGUACUUCUGUGCUCUUCGGCAUACCCAAACAAUGAGUCGUUAA
Pteropus alecto (black flying fox) is the source of this 449-nucleotide non-coding RNA. Lineage: Eukaryota; Metazoa; Chordata; Mammalia; Chiroptera; Pteropodidae. The record is from the annotation of a RefSeq genome assembly.